Molecule: long non-coding RNA, 819 nt
Organism: Vitis vinifera (wine grape)
Lineage: Eukaryota; Viridiplantae; Streptophyta; Magnoliopsida; Vitales; Vitaceae
Exons: 3
Source: RefSeq, a predicted model, not a curated record
AAAAUUCUCAAAUAUUAUGUCGAAUUGCUAAGUGGGGUGUGGAUCCUCUGGGACAAUAGGCUUGUUUUAGGAAAAACGACGUCGUUUAUUUUCGUUUUCCCAAGAAAUCUUCAAAUUUUCCCACAAAAUUCCCGAGAAAACAAGCACGUUCAAGAAAAGGACCAAGUUCCCACGUGCGACAAGUGCCACCCCGGAAGAGCAAUCCUCACCGAAUCCAGUUGCAAUAGGGCGCACUGCCUUCUAUCAGAGAAGGUACACUCGAUCAUGGGGGGAGCAGAGCACGGUCAUGGAGAGGCCCAUGGAGAUUUCAGAACCAAGGUCUGGAGCAUGACUGGUGGGCCGUACUGUAGGCCCAAGCACUGGAAGAGGAACACUGCCAUUGCUAUGGCUGGUGUUUUUCUUAUCUGCAUCCCCAUCGCCAUGAAAUCUGCUGAGCUCGAGCAACGGCCUCAUCAACCUAUUCGUCCAAUUCCUUCCCAGCUCUGGUGCAAGAAUUUUGGAAACAAGGAGUAUUAGAAGCCUCAACAAUCAUCUAGUUACAAACAAUUGGUGGUGGUUGGACCUCUAUAUCUUGCAGUCUGGGAAAGCAUUCCUCUAUCUUUUUUAUUGCAGAAAAUUUCAGCUGCCUCCUCAACUUGCUUUGCAUAAUGCUUUUUCAAGUUUGAAUGAUUGAAUCUACAACUUUAUUGGCUGGACUACUCUUAUUACCACAUCAUCCUCAUGAAAAUAAGUUACAAUGCCCCCUUGCUUCCAGUUUUCAUGAAAUAAAAUGUUGAAGAUGACAUUGUAAGUUUAAGUGAAACUUGUUCUCUGUUUCAA